Lynx canadensis (Canada lynx) is the source of this 287-nucleotide long non-coding RNA. RefSeq lists it as uncharacterized. Lineage: Eukaryota; Metazoa; Chordata; Mammalia; Carnivora; Felidae. The transcript has 3 exons. The record is from RefSeq and is a predicted model, not a curated record.
GAAUGUCAGGCAGGGGAAGGGACAGCAUGGAGACAAGGACGGAUGUCCGGCUGCCUCCCUGAGACCUAUCAACUCCCCCCUCUCCCGCUGCACACCAGCAAGGCACUCGAACUUAAAAAGAGCCAUCAAGGAGGCUGACUGGGCACUAUACGCUCAUAAAAGCCAGUCCCUCCAACCCAGGCCUAAGGGGUCAGCCCCGUCACUCAAACGCCCCUGGCCACCAUGGGCGGAUGCAGAGCAGCGAGCACCCUUGCAGAGGGCUCCCGGGAGAAGUGACCGGCAGUUCC